This 743-nucleotide ribosomal RNA is filed under the name uncultured Methanotrichaceae archaeon. RNAcentral's name for it is "bacterial SSU rRNA". It matches the Rfam family "Archaeal small subunit ribosomal RNA", at positions 85 to 828 of the family's 1478-position model. The record is from RNAcentral. Lineage: Archaea; Methanobacteriati; Methanobacteriota; Methanomicrobia; Methanotrichales; Methanotrichaceae.
ACGGCUCAGUAACACGUGGACAACCUACCCUCAGACCUGGGAUAAACCUGGGAAACUGGGUAUAAUACCGGAUAGGUCUUGGAUGCUGGAAUGCACCGAGGCCCAAAGCUCCGGCGUCUGAGGAUGGGUCUGCGGCCUAUCAGGGUAGUAGUGGGUGUAAAGUACCUACUAGCCUACGACGGGUACGGGUCGUGAGAGCGAGAGCCCGGAGAUGGAUUCUGAGACACGAAUCCAGGCCCUACGGGGUGCAGCAGGCGCGAAAACUUUACAAUGCCGGCAACGGCGAUAAGGGGACCUCGAGUGCCAGGAUACAAUCCUGGCUGUCGUAAUGCCUAAAAAGCAUUAUAUAGCAAGGGCCGGGCAAGACCGGUGCCAGCCGCCGCGGUAACACCGGCGGCUCGAGUGGUAACCGCUAUUAUUGGGUCUAAAGGGUCUGUAGCCGGCCUGGUAAGUCUUUUGGGAAAUCCGGCAGCUCAACUGUCGGGCUAUCAGAGGAUACUGCUAGGCUCGAGACCGGGAGAGGUGAGAGGUACUUCAUGGGUAGGGGUGAAAUCUUGUAAUCCUUGAAGGACCACCAGUGGCGAAGGCGUCUCACCAGAACGGAUCUGACGGCAAGGGACGAAAGCUAGGGGCACGAACUGGAUUAGAUACCCGGGUAGUCCUAGCCGUAAACGAUACUCGCUAGGUGUCGGCCACGGUGCGACCGUGGUCGGUGCCGUAGGGAAGCCGUGAAGCGAGCCACC